RNAcentral lists this ribosomal RNA (203 nucleotides) under uncultured bacterium. RNAcentral's name for it is "partial 16S ribosomal RNA". It matches the Rfam family "Bacterial small subunit ribosomal RNA", at positions 1297 to 1500 of the family's 1533-position model. The record is from RNAcentral.
AUUGUAGUCUGCAACCCGACUACAUGAAGCUGGAAUCGCUAGUAAUCGCGAAUCAGAAUGUCGCGGUGAAUACGUUCCCGGGUCUUGUACACACCGCCGUCACACCAUGGGAGUCGGAAAUGCCCGAAGUCAGUGACCCAACCGUAAGGAGGGAGCUGCCGAAGGUGGAGCCGGUAACUGGGGUGAAGUCGUAACAAGGUAAC